Molecule: ribosomal RNA, 449 nt
Filed under: uncultured bacterium
Lineage: Bacteria
Description: partial 16S ribosomal RNA
Rfam family: Bacterial small subunit ribosomal RNA
Source: RNAcentral
AGCGAACGCUGGCGGCAGGCCUAACACAUGCAAGUCGAACGGAUCCUUCGGGAUUAGUGGCGGACGGGUGAGUAACACGUGGGAACGUGCCCUUUGGUUCGGAACAACUCAGGGAAACUUGAGCUAAUACCGGAUGUGCCCUUCGGGGGAAAGAUUUAUCGCCAUUGGAGCGGCCCGCGUCUGAUUAGCUAGUUGGUGAGGUAAAGGCUCACCAAGGCGACGAUCAGUAGCUGGUCUGAGAGGAUGAUCAGCCACAUUGGGACUGAGACACGGCCCAAACUCCUACGGGAGGCAGCAGUGGGGAAUCUUGGGCAAUGGGCGAAAGCCUGACGCAGCCAUGCCGCGUGAAUGAUGAAGGUCUUAGGAUUGUAAAAUUCUUUCACCGGGGACGAUAAUGUCGGUACCCGGAGAAGAAGCCCCGGCUAACUUCGUGCCAGCCGCCGCAGUAA